This 18-nucleotide small nuclear RNA is filed under the name Arabidopsis thaliana (thale cress). Its description in RNAcentral is "snRNA_09324". Lineage: Eukaryota; Viridiplantae; Streptophyta; Magnoliopsida; Brassicales; Brassicaceae. The record is from RNAcentral.
AAGCGUCGUUCGGACCGC